ACGUGACUCUCUAAAGGCAGCCUGUAGCAGCAGAGAGGAAAAUAAAAAGGUAGCCGUUUAGGAAGUUCAGUUAGAAAAAGAAACUUGGAAAUGUCUGAACUCAAGCAAACAAGAACUGAGCAAAGGAAAAGACAGAAGACCAGGAAGAUUUCUUUGCACCGUCUUUUUGGUUUCCACAAAACACUGGAAUCGGCGUAGAAAAACUGCCAUGAGUGUGUGCUGACAGCAGAAUACAAGAGUGAUCUACAAAAACAUGAACGUUAGGGGUGAUGAACAACAUCUGCUUUAAAUAUUCCCAGCUAUGAAGACUGUAUUUUCUAACUUUGUGAUUUUAAGUGAAACCUUUCUUGGACGAUGUUUAUUUCAGUGCCUUUUACACCUUUUAAAAUGCACAAAAAAAAAUAAUUAGUGUAGUAUCUGUAUGUAUAAGUGUUUAAUUAAUAUUUAAAAAUACUGCAUAUAGGAUAAAGUCAUUUAUUUUCAACGUACUCCUCAUUAGUAACAGCCAGCAGGGAUUCUAAGCACAUAAGGAGACAGUUUUAUCUAAAUGUUUCUUAAAAAAAAAAAAAAGUUUUUAAUUCUUGAGCCGUACAUUACUAUUUAUUUAUUCACAUAUUUAUUUACCUCUGAACCACUUAAAGCAGUUUUAAGAAUUUUGAGGGAGUUGGACAUUUUUUAAUAUUUUCUUAUCUCUGAGAUAUGGGAGGAAUUCAGACUGCCGAGAGGAAGCCCAGUGAGCCCAUUUAAAGACUGGCACUGAGCCCAGGGCAACUGUGCUGCGGUUUGAAGUCCCAAAUCUGAGGACUUUCUGUGGUGCCUUGAGGGCUCGCUCUUCUCUAUUAAUGACAUGGACAUCUGGGUCAAAUUAAAGUAAGAAUUUCUUCCCAUUGUCUUCUAAACCACAACAGUUUUACUCUUCUCUUAAUACAAAGUGAACACUUAGUGCAGUUUCUUUCCAUUUUUUCUUGGCAAGCUGUUAACAGAUUUUAUUAGGAGUGUUAAGAUCUCAGGCCGCAAUGUGGCACAGCAGACAGCACUCCUGCCUCACAGAUCCACUUUCUUCAGUCUACAUGGAUGUUCUCCCACCUCCCACAGAUGUGUCUGCUAUUCAUCAAUUUGAAAUGGAGCUCACCGGCCCUGUGAUGUUUUACUGAUUCUUGUCUUGUGCCCAGUGGAACUGAGAUGAGAGGAUUUAGACAGUCAGAGAACAUUAUAUUUACGCCAACUGUUAAAUUAAGAAAACCACUUUAAUUUUAAAUCAAUUAAAAUGUACUGAAUAUUA
This is a long non-coding RNA of Polypterus senegalus (gray bichir), 1282 nucleotides long. RefSeq lists it as uncharacterized. The transcript has 3 exons. NCBI's taxonomy places the organism in Eukaryota, Metazoa, Chordata, Cladistia, Polypteriformes, Polypteridae. The record is from RefSeq and is a predicted model, not a curated record.